Molecule: ribosomal RNA, 497 nt
Filed under: uncultured bacterium
Lineage: Bacteria
Description: partial 16S ribosomal RNA
Rfam family: Bacterial small subunit ribosomal RNA
Source: RNAcentral
GAUGAACGCUGGCGGCGUGCCUAAUACAUGCAAGUCGAGCGAACAGACGAGGAGCUUGCUCCUCUGACGUUAGCGGCGGACGGGUGAGUAACACGUGGAUAACCUACCUAUAAGACUGGGAUAACUUCGGGAAACCGGAGCUAAUACCGGAUAAUAUAUUGAACCGCAUGGUUCAAUAGUGAAAGACGGUUUUGCUGUCACUUAUAGAUGGAUCCGCGCCGCAUUAGCUAGUUGGUAAGGUAACGGCUUACCAAGGCGACGAUGCGUAGCCGACCUGAGAGGGUGAUCGGCCACACUGGAACUGAGAACAGGUCCAGACUCCUACGGGAGGCAGGAGUAGGGAAUCUUCCGCAAUGGGCGAAAGCCUGACCGAGCAACCCCGCGUGGGGGAAGAAGGGCUUCGGGUUGUAAAACCCUUUUAUUAGGGAAGAACAAAUGUGUAAGUAACUAUGCACGUCUUGACGGUACCUAAUCAGAAAGCCACGGCUAACUACGUG